Molecule: long non-coding RNA, 577 nt
Filed under: Homo sapiens (human)
Lineage: Eukaryota; Metazoa; Chordata; Mammalia; Primates; Hominidae
Description: PREDICTED lncRNA (TCONS_00204769)
Source: RNAcentral
CGCGCACCCACCGAGCCCGCGCUCAGACGCCCCAGCUCCGCCGAGAGGCCGCUCGCGACAGGUCCUUCCUCUUCCCCAAGUGCAGGCAGAGCCCCCGGAGCCACUGCCAGCCCUUCCCGCAGCUCCGAAACCACUGGCAAGCCCCGAGGCAGGGAUGGCCCUCCCAGGAGGGAGGAGGACGACGUCCCUCCCGAGGAGAAGAGGCUGCGGCUGUUGCUGGAGGGGGGAAGCGCACAGCCCGGCGACUGCGAGGACGGGGAGGACGCGCCGCGGCCGGGCAGGGAGGAGACCGGCACCCAGACAGGUGGCGACGGCAGAGGAGCACAGUGGCUCACACUUGUAAUCCCAGCACUUUGGCAGGUCGAGGCUGGAAGAUCACCUAAGGUCAGGAGUUCGAGACCAGCCUGGCCAACAUGGCGAAACUGUCUCUACUAAAAAUACAGAAAUUAGCCAGGUGUGAUGGCACACACCUCUAAUCCCAGCUACUUGGGAGGCUGCGGCAGGAGAAUCGUUUCAAACUGGGAGAGAGAGGUUGCAGUCAGCUGAGAUCGCACCACUGCACUUCAGCCAGCCUGGG